ACCUCCGGGGAACGCGACUUUGGGCUGCAGCACACGGGAAUAGGAAAUAUCAGAAAGUGGUCACGAGGGUGACGCUGGAGCUGAAACGGCCCGACACCUGUUCUACCUCGGCUGUUCGGCUCAAUUCCGAACCCUCUCAGAGGACACGAAUUUGGGGGCCUGCGCUUCCAGCCUCGGGAUUCUCACUGUCCCCUCGGGCCCCGUGAGUGCUGACCCCGAGGGGCGCCCCUCCCCGGCCACCGCCUCAGCGCGACGGCUGCUUCCCGGGAAUAGCGGCGACCCCUCAGUGCCGACCGACCCCGAGGGUCUUGCUCUGUCACCUAGGCUGGAGUGCAGUGGUGUGAUCACAGCUCACUGGAGCCUCGACCUCCUGGGAUCAAGCGAUUCUCUCACCUCAACCUUUGAACUUCUAGAUAAGUGGUUCUCAAAGUGUGGUCCUUCAACCAACAGCAUCAUCACCACCCAGGAACUUAUUAGAAAUGGAAGUUCUUGCACCCUGCCAAAACCAGAAACUGCGGAUGGGUCCCAGCAAUCUUUAUUUUAACGACUGUUAAGAUCAGAAUCAAGUGAUUCUGAUGCAAACUUAAGUUUGAAAACAUUGUUCUAUUAAAAGUAAUGGCAAAAACCGCAAUUACUUUUGCACCAACCUAAGAGCUCUGCACUGUUCAAUAUGGUAGCCUCUAACUAUUGAAUUUUUUAAUGCUAUAUCUCCUUUAUUCAAAAAUAAAUAUUUCACUUUGAUUCAA
Long non-coding RNA from Gorilla gorilla gorilla (western lowland gorilla), 746 nucleotides. RefSeq lists it as uncharacterized. NCBI's taxonomy places the organism in Eukaryota, Metazoa, Chordata, Mammalia, Primates, Hominidae. The transcript has 3 exons. The record is from RefSeq and is a predicted model, not a curated record.